RNAcentral lists this long non-coding RNA (542 nucleotides) under Physcomitrium patens. Its description in RNAcentral is "long non-coding RNA (PPAT_LNC003373)". Lineage: Eukaryota; Viridiplantae; Streptophyta; Bryopsida; Funariales; Funariaceae. The record is from RNAcentral.
UAGCAAGUUUCAAGAUUACUUUGGAAUUUUAAAUGCCACUUAUUAAACUUUCAUAUUUUUGUAUUAAAAUUUAGAAAAAAUACAUAUCUUAUUAUUAGAUUUUUAAUAAGCAUAAGCACGUAAAAAAUGGAGUUGUAACAAAGAAAAUCCAUUCAAGUUUGUGGGAAGGAUGUUAUUGGAGUUUUUGAGACAAUAUGAUUUAAAACUGGUUUGAAAUUUAUUGUACCAUUUCUUACAUUUUUUUUUUCUUUUUGAUUUGAGAUUUUAAAGGAAGUCAGAUCUUGUUGUUAGUUUUUCAAGAAGCUUUAGUAUGUAAGAAGAAGAGUUAAACAAGAGAAAUCAAAGCUAAUUUGUAGAGAGAGAUUUUAAAGGCUACGACCAUAGUAAGUAGCCAAUUUUUUUUCCCUUGGUUUGAUUCUUAUUUUUUCAAUUUUUUUUUUAUUAAAUUUGAGUGCAUUUUGGCACAAGAAAGAAAUUAAUCUAAAAUUUGUACUUAGCCUUUGGGCUAUUUAUUUUACAUUUGAGUUUACUCAAGCAACAUU